CGCUAGGGGCCUAGGGUUAGCGCAGCCACGCCACCGGGCUCCGCCGAAGUCGCCUGCCUCCUCGCCGCUGGCUUCAGCCUUCUCCAUCCUCAGCUGAUGCCGCCCGCCUCUUCUCCGGCUCCGUCCUCUAUUGAUGCCGCUCGCAUCCUCUCCGGCUCCGUCCUCCGCUGAUGCCACCGACCUCCUCUCCGGCUCUGUCCUUCUCUGACCAUUCUCCCUCACUGUGUAGAUGCUGGGGAUGGUGUGCCGUGAGAUCAGGAGAGGGCACGCCGUCCACGUCGACGAUCUCGCCCUCAAGCUGGCCAGCGACGUCAUCGGGCAGGCGGACUUCAGCCUCGAAUUCUCCCUCUCAGCGCCAUCGUGCAGUUAUGAUUCAUGUGUUCUUUUCGUCUUCCCCAUGCCGUUUUCAUGGUUGUUGGUCGGGAUAUGCCCUUUCCUUUAAUUCUGGUUGAUUGCGUUGGUUUUCUGGUCUACCAAUUCCUCUUUACUUCCAAUAAUUUGUUAUGGGUGUCCAAUUUCUCUAGAAAGUGAAGAUUUAGUGGAGCAGAUUUGCAAUGGCACUUUCAAUUAGAUAAGAUGGUUGCUGUCUUCGGGGGACUAUGACGGACUCCUCUUGACAAUCAUGUGGUCCACAGGGUCAUCAACACAGUACUAUGCAUUACAAUAGAGCGGAGUGGAGGGGUUUUGUCCACUAUGGCAGCUCGGCUGGUUCCUGCCCGUGGAACUGAUGUGCUUUUUCGGUGCCUUUGUUGUGCUCUAGGCCGCUGUCAGCUUCGAUGCGGCCGAUGCGACGCCCGUGGUCAUGGUUGGCUCCAUCAAGUGCUUGGAUUGCUCCCCCGACGACGCCAAUGCUGAGGAUGCCUUCAAAGGCACCAGAAACCGGAAUGCAAGAAGAGACAUGAAAUUUGAUGGCUUGCAUCGACGGGAGACCAUUGCUGCACUACAUGUACUCUCAUUGGAUUAUACUUCUGCCUGUCUUCUGCAUUGAAUGUUUGCUAAUUUCAUCUAUGCGGAUGUACUGAGCUUUGAGUUAUUGGGUUUGAUCUCCUUAUUAUCUUCUUGGAGUUUUUUUAGCUUUUGUCCAUAUGAAAUAAAAUGCUUUAGUCUUGCGUCAGCCAUCUACUUGCUUAAAUUAGAAAAAAUAGGAGUGCAGUCUAAAUGCUAAGAAAAUGCAUGUUAUGCUAUCAAGGAUUCCGUCUUCUACAAUUGCGUAAUUUUAGAUUCCGUCGUCUACAGAAAAUCUUUACAAUAGUCUGAUAGAAAAGACUAACACAAUUUGUUUUCACAUGAGCAUGGUGUAAUGAACCAACCAAACCAUUGGUACUUGCAUAGAAAGUUAUCUCAUGUUCCACACGCUUAAACUCUCUUCACCUUGGUGACCUUCAGGCUGAGUGGUCAAUCAACAACUCUUUAAUUCCAUUGAUUAAUUAAACCACAAAGUUCAGAUCUAUCUCUUCCUUUGGCAUUCACAGCCUGUACAACGACUGCAAAAUCACUCUCAAAAUUAACUAGGCCAUGACACUAGAAGCAGCAAGGUCGACGGCUUAUUUCAGAGCACAAAGUUCAGCUUUAAGAGCACGAAGUUCAGCUUUCAGAGCACUCACAGUGAGAUCAAGAUAUAGAUAUUGUCAUCUCUUCUCGGCUUUUUCUUUCUUUCUCAUAUUAAUUCCUCCAAAUGGUCACUAGAUAUUGUCUUUUUUAUUUAUUUAUGUUGUUUGAUGAAAUAAGAUGCUAAAAUAUUUGUCCUGAACUUCAUAUGUGGAAAUAAAGCACUUGGCCCAUAGCAAGGUGUAAUGUUGUUUGGACCACCGUUAAUUUGUUACUGUUCUCACCAAAAUGUCAUGUUUUGUAGUUUCUUUGGAGGAGUCCUGUUUUAAUUUGAUACUGAUGCACUUCUUAAUAUGACCAGAAUGUCAUGUUCUGUAGCUUCUUCAGAGGAGUCCUGUUUUUUUUUUCAUUCCCCUUAGAUAUUGAUGCAAUUUUUAUUUGUGAUUGUUAAACAACUGAAAAUUCUUGACUUAUUGUCCAUUUGUUCUCUUACAGUUGCAAAUAACUUAAAAAGAGAGUUGCCUUCAACCUUUUGCAGGCUCACAAAUAUGGCAGAUUAUAUUCAUUCAUGUUUUUUUGUGAGAAUUUUUUUCAUUCAUGUUUGAUUAGCAAAUUUCUUGCUUCAGUGGCAUGUCAUGAAGAACUAGAUAAUGUACUCUUAUCAUUGAUUGAUUAUUAUUGCUAUAUUAUAUAUGUGUCUUCUGAAUUACAUAGAGGUGAAAGAGAGAAUGCAUAAUGAUUGAUGCUCCUUUCCUUUGUAUCGAUAUUUCCUAUAUGUACUAUCAUCUUUCACUGCGGGUAUGCUAUUCUGAGUGCCAUUAGGAGUAACAAAGAUUAUUAUAGUAUUAGAGCAGUCAGGAGGAUUGUGACACUUACGCUCAUUCAAAGUUUAAGUGUGGUAAAAAAAUGUUGUAAUUUCUUCUAUUUUUCGGUAGGAUAUUUCACAUCAACAUGGAUAAUAACAACAGUUGUUCAUCUAACUUUCUCGAAUAAAUUUAUGCUUGGAGCAGGUAGGAGGCGAUGCAUCUGAAGUCGUGUGUGUACAUCGUGUCUUGGUGUGAUGGAGGAGGCGUUGGUGCUCUGCAGAUUUUGUUUCAGGCUGUAGGUUUCAGUAUGCAUACUGCCACUUGAGAAGAACUGCUUCCGAGUGUAGUCAGAAGAUUAGGAUUGAAAGUGCUGGGUCUGCCACUAUAUCAUUUUGGUGGCUUUUCUUUGAAGAUCAAUCAGGUGAACUAGGAGCCCCUCCGGAUUUCGUAAAAGGGUUACCCUUCGUAAAAUGGCUGGUGACAGAACAGGCAGCGUAUUACUUACCUCUAUAUGAUUGUAACAAAUGAUUUGAUAUACCAUCUGGGAUGUGAGCUCCCUUUCUUCGCCUUGGAAUCACUAAACGGGACGAUGACUGCCGCCGUGCCAGCCUUCUUAGUUGUAAUCAAAGAAGAUAAUUAUUUCUCACAAAGCACAAAGUGUAUAAGGUUUCACUACCAAUGGUGUUGUUCCAUGUGGUCUACAGCUCUGCAAUGUGAAUGAUGGGUAUCAUAUUUAUAUUUUACACACUGGCGAGUCCCUUUUCUGUAUAAGCCAAA
Molecule: long non-coding RNA, 3131 nt
Organism: Lolium rigidum
Lineage: Eukaryota; Viridiplantae; Streptophyta; Magnoliopsida; Poales; Poaceae
Exons: 5
Source: RefSeq, a predicted model, not a curated record